This 170-nucleotide microRNA precursor is filed under the name Medicago truncatula (barrel medic). RNAcentral describes it as "MIR2619 microRNA precursor family". It matches the Rfam family "MIR2619 microRNA precursor family". The record is from Rfam by way of RNAcentral. Lineage: Eukaryota; Viridiplantae; Streptophyta; Magnoliopsida; Fabales; Fabaceae.
AAACAGCCCCCUAUGUUUGAUUCUUUGGCAAUUUUGGACCCCCAAGGCAAAAAAAAAUAAAAAAAAAUGACACGUGGCACCUCACUUAGGGUGCCACGUCAGCGUAGACCGAGUCAACAAUGGACUGGGGGUCCAAAACUGACAAAAAAUCAAAACAUAGGGGGCUGUUU